GAUCAUUAUUGAUUAUGAAUCGUUGCCCUCUGUGCUGGCUCCGGCAAGUGCACGCUGGUGACUUUCAUCCAACACCCUUGUGAACCUUUGGCCUCUUGCUAGCUUCGGUUGGCAGAGGAUUUAUACACAAACUCGAAUGUAAUGAAAAACUUUGUUGUGUGCGCAAGCACUAAUGUACAACUUUCAACAACGGAUCUCUUGGCUCUCGCAUCGAUGAAGAACGCAGCGAAAUGUGAUAAGUAAUGUGAAUUGCAGAAUUCAGUGAAUCAUCGAAUCUUUGAACGCACCUUGCACCCUUUGGUAUUCCGAAGGGUAUGCUCGUUUGAGUGUCAUUGUACUCUCACACUCUCCAAUUCGAAUUGGGGAGUUGUGGACUUGGGUGUUGCUGCUUCACUGUCAGGCUCACCUCAAAUGUGUUAGUACAACUCUUGGUUAGACAUAGUACGGUGUGAUAAGUAUCUUCACUGUGCCUCGCAAGAGGGUGGCUAAUCGGGAGCUGUGUGCUUCAAACAGUCUUUGGACAAUGUCUGACAACUUGACCUCAAAUCGAGUAGGACUACCCGCUGAACUUAAGCAUAUCAAUA
This 584-nucleotide ribosomal RNA is filed under the name uncultured Sebacina. RNAcentral describes it as "eukaryotic LSU rRNA". The stretch from base 179 to 332 matches the Rfam family "5.8S ribosomal RNA". The record is from RNAcentral. Lineage: Eukaryota; Fungi; Basidiomycota; Agaricomycetes; Sebacinales; Sebacinaceae.